UGCUAUGCCAACAUAUUGCCAU
RNAcentral lists this non-coding RNA (22 nucleotides) under Pteropus alecto (black flying fox). Its record names the gene pal-miR-31-3p. The record is from miRBase by way of RNAcentral. RNAcentral also lists the same sequence under 2 other names. Lineage: Eukaryota; Metazoa; Chordata; Mammalia; Chiroptera; Pteropodidae.